CUGCUGUCCACUAAGUCAGCUGAGGCAGGAAUCUAGAGCACAUUACAAACCCUGCACCAGAGAUGCUUCAGAAGAAUUGAUUCACUGGCCAGAAGACCUCUUCCAACAAACAGACCUCAUCGACCAAAGUAAACUGUUUUUCUUUGGCAGGUUUUAAAUAUGGACUUCUGUGGUAGACUUGGCUACAUAUUAUUUUCUGAAGUUAUCAGAUGGAUAUGCCUCCUCUCAAGCAUUACUUUCUUCCAGCAAAACACUUCAUGGAAGUAAUGCUGGUCCUAGAUGUAACUCUGCUAGGAAUAAAAGAAACUUCACUGCAAUUGAAGUGCGUUGAUUUCAGUCCACAAACCUUUCCUGAAGAACUUCCAACCUAAAACUGGAGAUAGAAACAGCAAGAUGACAGGGACACUAAUUAAGGUACAUAUGUCUUCAAAUGGGUCCAUUUAUUUAGCCGACUCAAAUUUCUUAGCUCGGUGUCACUGAUGCAGUGGAAGAAAGCUUUUAGAAGGGAAUGAGGCUAGUGAGGUGAAAUGGUGUAGUCCAUGCAGUGAAACAACACUGAACAGUAUUUGGAAUCGAGGUUGGAGAAGAACCCAGACAUGCCCCAAUUCACACUUCCUAACUCAUAUCUACUUAGAAAAAGCGAGUUUGUUACAAGUUUAUCAGAGUAGGGAACUCAAGGACAAACUCUUCAGUGGGUGGCUUGAAAGAAAGGAAGCAAGCUACUUGAGUGCUAUGUAAUGUAAUGAACAAAAAUGAACAGCUAAUUCAUCUUUGAAACAUCCAACUUUCACAGAAACAUCAGUAUUGACAAAAAGAUUGUUAUAAUUUAGGUACAACAUAGGGGAUAAUUUCAUGUUCAGAAGCAAAAGAAUGU
Harpia harpyja (harpy eagle) is the source of this 874-nucleotide long non-coding RNA. RefSeq lists it as uncharacterized. Lineage: Eukaryota; Metazoa; Chordata; Aves; Accipitriformes; Accipitridae. The transcript has 3 exons. The record is from RefSeq and is a predicted model, not a curated record.